GAUGAACGCUAGCUACAGGCUUAACACAUGCAAGUCGAGGGGCAGCAUGACCUAGCAAUAGGUUGAUGGCGACCGGCGCACGGGUGAGUAACACGUAUCCAACCUGCCGAUUAUUCCGGGAUAGCCUUUCGAAAGAAAGAUUAAUACUGGAUAGCAUAACGAGAAGGCAUCUUCUUGUUAUUAAAGAAUUUCGAUAAUCGAUGGGGAUGCGUUCCAUUAGUUUGUUGGCGGGGUAACGGCCCACCAAGACAUCGAUGGAUAGGGGUUCUGAGAGGAAGGUCCCCCACAUUGGAACUGAGACACGGUCCAAACUCCUACGGGAGGCAGCAGUGAGGAAUAUUGGUCAAUGGACGAGAGUCUGAACCAGCCAAGUAGCGUGAAGGAUGACUGCCCUAUGGGUUGUAAACUCCUUUUAUAUGGGAAUAAAGUGGGCCACGUGUGGCUUUUUGUAUGUACCAUACGAAUAAGGAUCGGCUAACUCCGU
RNAcentral lists this ribosomal RNA (484 nucleotides) under uncultured bacterium. RNAcentral's name for it is "partial 16S ribosomal RNA". It matches the Rfam family "Bacterial small subunit ribosomal RNA", at positions 28 to 506 of the family's 1533-position model. The record is from RNAcentral.